This 417-nucleotide ribosomal RNA is filed under the name Triticum aestivum (bread wheat). RNAcentral describes it as "partial small subunit ribosomal RNA". Lineage: Eukaryota; Viridiplantae; Streptophyta; Magnoliopsida; Poales; Poaceae. The record is from RNAcentral.
AUGGCGGAUGUAAGUCAUGAGUCAAUGAUGGAUUACUAUCAUAUUGCCAACAAGAUGUUUAAUAGUGAGGAUGAAGGUUAUACAUUCUAUAACAAAUAUGGUCUUGAGAAAGGUUUUAGUGUCCGGAGAAGCUAUGUCGAGUGGGAUGGAUCCAAUUGCCAUAUAAUUUUAAGGAAAUUUGUGUGUAGUCGUGAAGGGGUUCGUGAAGAGAAGCACAUGAAGAGGAAGAUGGAAGAUAGAAAGAGGAGGCCACAGAGUAUAACUCGUGUAGGGUGUAAAGCUAAAUUGGUGAUUGCAAGACAGGAGGAAACAGGUCAGUGGUUUGUCAAGGAUUUCAUCGAUGAACACAACCAUCCUCUAGCCCCACGGGAUCUGUCGUGUCUUUUGCGUUCACACAGAAGAAUUAGCGAUGAGUAG